AGCUUUCUGCAGUGGCAGUAUCAUAGGCAAUGAGGUUUAUCCGAGGCACAGUUAUUGCUAACUGAAAAAAAAUAGUGAGACAAACCACAGAAUGGGAGAAAAUAUUUUCUAAAAAUCAUAUAUCUGAUAGGGGAUUUGUAUU
Camelus ferus (Wild Bactrian camel) is the source of this 142-nucleotide small nuclear RNA. It matches the Rfam family "U4 spliceosomal RNA". Rfam says of the family: U4 small nuclear RNA (U4 snRNA) is a component of the major U2-dependent spliceosome. The structure of U4 snRNA from yeast and human has been reported. U4 snRNA presents a k-turn RNA motif in the 5p-SL related to recognition of Snu13 protein. The record is from Rfam. NCBI's taxonomy places the organism in Eukaryota, Metazoa, Chordata, Mammalia, Artiodactyla, Camelidae.